This is a long non-coding RNA of Salvelinus namaycush (lake trout), 1248 nucleotides long. RefSeq lists it as uncharacterized. Lineage: Eukaryota; Metazoa; Chordata; Actinopteri; Salmoniformes; Salmonidae. The record is from RefSeq and is a predicted model, not a curated record. The transcript has 3 exons.
CUCACGCCCUGACCAACUAAACACAUACAAAAAUAACAGAAAACAGGUCAGGAACGUGACAUGAUCACUGUUCUCAACUUGUCGUUGCACAUCUCACACUACAGAGCAUUGCAGAUUUUGUGCCGACAUGCUUGUAAAAUAUUGGGACGUCUGGGACAGCUCAAAGACAAGAUCGUUAGCCCUCAGAUUGCGUCUCUGACCCUCUCACAUUAAAUGAAUGUCGGCGAUGGCCGCUCGCUCCUUUGUAGGCAACGACAUGAGGAUUUUGUCUCCAACCUCAAACUUGUCUGGGACAGCUAAAUCGGGGCCAAAAUCGUGUAGUGUACACCCGGUUUAAGGAUGGGAGAGACAUCACAUUCAUCACAGCUCCUUGCUGAAGGUGACGUUGAUCAUGUACUGCUUCUCGUGGGGUGAGCCUGAUGUUCGGCAUGUCACGCCUCAUGUCUGAAACAUCAAAAUGCAUAUGCAUCUACAAAUCAUUGUUUUACACAAUAUUGUAUCAUAUUUUGAGUUGCUGACCUGUUCAUCCACAGGCUUGUGCUGUAGUCUCCACAACUGGAUCAGACUGACACAGGAUUUCCAGUCAGCGGAUGGUCUGAGGGAUGCACUCAUGUUGGACUGGAAAACAAAGAGACAUUUGGCCAGUGGCUCGAUCUGCUGUAGUCUCUACAAAUGGACACUUGAGCUCGGAUCACACUGGCACAUGAUGUCCAUGCACUGGAUGGCCUGAGCGAUUCACUCCUGUUGGACUGGAAAACAAAAGAGACAUUUGUCUGGAUCUUCCUCUCUGCCAUGGUGGAUGAGCUACCUUUCCUGGUAAAUUUUCCCACGGGAAAAUGACAGCUGCAGACCCGAGUGUUGUCACUGGGUUUUCUGUCCGCCCAUCUCAAAGACUGUACUUCUGAUUAGAAUUCUCAAGAGGAAAGUUAAAACCUUGCUAACAUUAGGCACUUCAAGAAGCUAAGUAAACAAUGAUCAUUACACAGGUGCACCUUUUGCAGUUUUGUCACACAACAUAAUGCCACAGAUGCCUUAAGUUUUGAGGGGACAGGCAAUUGGCAUGCUGGCUGCAGGUAUGUCCACCAGAGCCUAGAAUGUAAUGUUAAUUUCUGUACCGUUAGCAUAAUUUUACCUCCUUACCUCCUCUAUACCUCCAACAUUGUUUUGGAGGUAUAGACACAGUACGUCCAACAAGCCUCACAACCGCAGACCACGUGUAACCACGCCAGCCCAGGGCCUCCACAUAUG